GUCUAUGCUACCUUGAACGUGCCUGAUCUUGUCUGAUCUCAGAAGCUAAGCAGGGUCGGGCCUGGUUAGUACUUGGAUGGGAGACUGCCUAGGAAGACCAGGUUCUGUAGGCA
Molecule: ribosomal RNA, 113 nt
Filed under: Pteropus alecto (black flying fox)
Lineage: Eukaryota; Metazoa; Chordata; Mammalia; Chiroptera; Pteropodidae
Source: RNAcentral